CAAAGUGCUUCCUUUUAGAGUG
This 22-nucleotide microRNA is filed under the name Macaca mulatta (Rhesus monkey). RNAcentral's name for it is "mml-miR-519d". Its record names the gene mml-miR-519d. The record is from miRBase by way of RNAcentral. Lineage: Eukaryota; Metazoa; Chordata; Mammalia; Primates; Cercopithecidae.